ACUUUAUUUGAUUGCAUGGCAGCACUUGUAGUGCCAGUGCGUAAAGUUGGGGUACGACAGGAAGGGUAUACGCGUCUGAGGCCUUUUCAGAGAACCCUUGAUGGAAGUACAGGUCAAACAGUCCGGAGCUUCUGGAUGCAGCCGGCUUCUUUAGAAGAGACUCCCUCACUAUUAUGGGGUUUAGAUCCAAUCUUUUUAGCCUUUGCAAAACUGUACAUUAAAGACAUUCUGGAAUUAAAGGAGUCCCAGCAAGUUCCAGGUAUAUUUUUCUAUAGAGGGCAUCCAAUCAAACAAGUUGACGUGUUAGGAACAGUGGUCUUUGUAAGAGAAAAGGAGAACUUUUACAGUUAUGGAGUGGAUGACAGUACUGGAGUCAUUAGCUGCACAUGCUGGAAGAGCACGGCACCAACAGAAGUCUCUUCUCCAGGGACUUCUGCUCGCCACGUUUCCUCCAGUUCCAAGGAUCUGGAUGUGAUGAUGAGAGAGCUGUACAAAGAGGAAAGUAAGAAAGCCAAGUUGGACAUUGGAGACACCAUCAGGGUUCGAGGCAGCAUCAAGGUGUUUCGGGAUCAAAGAGAGAUCGUGGCCUCUGUUUUCUAUAAAGUGGAGGACCCUAAAUUGGAUAUACAAAUGGCAAGGAUGUUCGAUCUUCCCUACAUGUACAGAAAUGUCUAUGACAAGCCGUUUGCUAUCCCGGAGCAUUUGAAAGAUUCAUCCGCAGGACAAACCGAUCACCAUAUUGUAACACAAUCACAUCUGAUCAUGCUAUUGAGUGAAAAAGUGAAAGUGUUUCUAAUGGAGAACAAAAUACACAAUUUUUACCAACGGGAAUUAGAAAGUGUUGACUCCUUAAUUGCUAUUGCUAGCCGUCCAGUUAGUGAUUUCAAGACCAUAGAGUCCAUGGAAAGUUCUAACUCCAAACAAAUCCGCAGCAUAUUCAAAGAAGCCAUCCAGCUGCUGCUAAAGGAAGGUUACAUUUUCCAAAAGGACCAAAAUCGGGAGGUUUAUCAGGUCACUGAUCAGGAUAAAGAUCUGCACAAACUUACCCUUAACAUCAUUAAAGAAGACUGCAGAAGGCAAAAGCUAUCUCCUAAUGGCAUCAAUGUCCAGAGAAGGUUGCAUGCAUCUCCAAGAGCACGACUGAUGGGCUACGUAUCUGAGUAUCGGAGUUAAAAUGUACUUUCUAGAUGACUGAGUGUGUGGUAACCUGAUGUGGAGGAAGACCUGCAUUGAGGACAUUGGGAGCAACAUCAGAGGGGUUGGUGAGCCACUGGUUGUGGAUCACUGCAUUAAGGCUGCCGUAUCGAUCCAGCUCAUCUUCAAGGCUUCCCCCACUCAGGAAUUCCAUGACAUAAAAGGCGUGCCGCUGGUUACACAGACAAUUGCAAAGUCAAGAGGAGGAAGAAAUGGCACAAGACUUACAACAUAGGGAUAAAAGCAAAGAUGCAAGGUGAGUUUAAAGGCCUGGUGAGAGCGGCACAAAGAGGGGCACAGAGUGGACUGAAAAAGAGAAAAGACAGGAGGCUUUAAGGUUUCACCUUCAAAGUGCAAGAAUGUGUUUAAUGCCGGGUGUGUAAUGGGGAGCCAGCAACCUCUCUCUCGAGCCGCUCACCCCCUAGGAAGAAGUACAUUGCUCUGCCAUUUACUCUGGGAAACUGCCUUUAUAAGGAUUACCUGGAAAACUAGGAGAACAAGUCAUUCAUUUCCCACUUAAUCGUUGUGAUAUAUAAGCUGCCAUGGAUUCUCUAUACAAAAUACAACCCAUUUAAAUGUCACUUUUUUGAGUGAUGCAAGUGAAAUUGUUUUCCCCUACCUCAGGAAAUGUCAUUUUUUGCACUCGGCAUUAGAGCUCUCGAUGCUACGGUGAGAUCUGAAUAUUGAGAAAUCUGUUAUCAGCCUUAUUUCCAACAGCACGGUGGCAUGCAGGUCACACACAGAACAAUGGGCAACUCUUAAUGGAUGAAUUGGCGCUCCUCUCUUUACCUAACAGGUCAAACCAUACAAGGCUGUAUGUGGGUUUUGCCAGCAAAGAUUCAAUAUUCACCUGCCUGAAUGUCUUGCCAGCUCUGAAAAGGUUUAUCGUCUGUCUGAAUGUGGUCGGAGUGGUAACAGCCCCCUUAUACCCACUCAGCUGAUGUCCUUCUUCUGUAAAAAACUUAACAUUUGUCAUUGUAAGACAUUUAGUAAUCAUUUGCUACAGGGAUGACCAAUAAGAACUGUGAUUGGUUAUUUGAUAGCCCAAUGAUGACUGGCAGACUACUACUCCAAAUCUUGUCUUCAAGUCAGAAAUUCCAAAUGAAAACCUGCAUUGAGGACAUUGGGAGCAACAUCAGAGGGGUUGUUGAACCACUGGUUGUGGAUCACUGCAUUAAGGCCUGAUGGUACCCAGCAGUCUCAUACUCUGGAAGAUGGUAUCCCAGGUGAAGGUGGAGAUGUUGGUGCAAACAGGAGUUGCGGACGAUGAUCCGGCCUUUGUGCAGCGAGAGCUGAUCUUGAAGCCCACAGUAGUGCCAACUGCCCGCUGAUGUUAUUUACCUAUGCUCAAUUGAAAUACCAUGGUGUUAUUAUUGGCUGGCUUACACACAUCCCAAUAUACUCACUUCAGCCAGCUGGAACUUAAGAAUGAAAAGCCCGGAACGCUGUUUCUGUCCCUUGGUGUAGCUUCAUCUUCCUGGGCCCCAAGGAAAGACAGGGGCGGCUCUCCAUUAUGUGGCUGGAAUAAUUUUGCUGGUGGCUGCAUGAAAGGGAAAAAAUAAUUAUAGUGAAUAUGAUACAAAAUCUAUUGUGAACAGUUGGCCAUGUAUUUUAUAAUAUACAAUAAAACCUGCAAUGGAAA
RNA transcript from Xenopus tropicalis (tropical clawed frog), 2836 nucleotides. It is a transcript of the gene named STN1, CST complex subunit, with no coding region annotated. The record is from RefSeq and is marked provisional. Lineage: Eukaryota; Metazoa; Chordata; Amphibia; Anura; Pipidae. The transcript is spliced from 14 exons.